GGGAAUGUAGUGGCCCCGGGCGGUGUUGAUCCCGUACGAUGGCAGUGCACCCGAUGGGUGCGCACCUUGAAAAAAACACAUGGGGAUGAUCGGUUUCGACAGCGGCUGUCGAAGCAGGGGAAGCGUGUCGAGGAAGCGGCCAUGAUCUCGUAAACCACAGGCCGAAACCAAUAAUCGCCAAUUCCAAGCGCGAUUCCUUCGCCCUCGCUGCCUAAGUAGCGACUUGCGAAGUGUCAGCCCGGGGGUGUUCCCGACCCGGAUCCUGGCAUCAUCAAGGGAACUAAACCGUUAGGCCCGGUCACGGGGUGUAGCGGGAAACCAAACAGUGGCUGAGCCCGUCGGAGACUUGUCCGCGUGAUCUCCGGGGCCGAGAAACUCACAGCGGACUGCACACGGAGAAGCCCUGAUUCCGCACCGUUGGACGCGGGUUCGAUUCCCGCCAUCUCCAC
RNAcentral lists this transfer-messenger RNA (449 nucleotides) under Streptomyces smaragdinus. RNAcentral's name for it is "Streptomyces sp. RB5 transfer-messenger RNA, SsrA". The stretch from base 82 to 449 matches the Rfam family "transfer-messenger RNA". From Rfam's summary of the family: Bacterial tmRNA, also known as 10Sa RNA or SsrA, is named for its dual tRNA and mRNA-like properties. Its role is to liberate the mRNA from a stalled ribosome. To accomplish this part of the tmRNA is used as a reading frame that ends in a translation stop signal. The record is from RNAcentral. Lineage: Bacteria; Bacillati; Actinomycetota; Actinomycetes; Kitasatosporales; Streptomycetaceae.